Molecule: long non-coding RNA, 146 nt
Organism: Myxocyprinus asiaticus (Chinese sucker)
Lineage: Eukaryota; Metazoa; Chordata; Actinopteri; Cypriniformes; Catostomidae
Exons: 3
Source: RefSeq, a predicted model, not a curated record
GAUGCUGCCUGGUGACGUAGGCCGUGUGAGUAAGAGCUCGGAGAACUAACAGAAGUAGGUGUUGUGAGCCAACAUGACCUUUUCAUGAAAUUUAACAACAGAUUAGGAUGAGCUCUUAACAUUCUACAUAAUGGAUUAUGAUUUCU